UUUUUUUUUUUUUUUUUAAUUUACUAAUAUAGUAGUAUUUUAUUCACAUAUCCUUUUUUUCAUUACAACAAAAAGAAAAAGAUUCUUAUGGGUAAAAAGAAGAGUAUUUUUAUAGGUUGGUUCAUGAUUGAGUAUUGUCUUUCCGUUCCCUAUAAAUUUUGAAUUGUUAUCCCUUUGUGAAAUUGUAUUGUUUUUUUCUAUUUAAAAUUGAAAAGGUAAAAUCUGAAAAUUUUUACUCUUAUUAUUAUUAUCUCAGAAAUAAGAAAGAAAUAAUCACGAAUGUUUAAAAUUGAAUACUUUCUAAUGAUUGAAUACUUUCUAAU
RNAcentral lists this unclassified non-coding RNA (323 nucleotides) under Dansiea elliptica. Its description in RNAcentral is "partial miscellaneous RNA". The record is from RNAcentral. Lineage: Eukaryota; Viridiplantae; Streptophyta; Magnoliopsida; Myrtales; Combretaceae.